Molecule: long non-coding RNA, 1202 nt
Organism: Malania oleifera
Lineage: Eukaryota; Viridiplantae; Streptophyta; Magnoliopsida; Santalales; Ximeniaceae
Exons: 3
Source: RefSeq, a predicted model, not a curated record
GGAAAUAGGUGGGGAAAAUAAACAUGGAGGAGGGAAAUUUUAUUUCCUCGAAAAAAACCCAAGGAAAUUGAAGUUAAAGGAGGGAAAAAUUUAUUGGGCUCCCCCCUCACUCCAGUGCACUAACACGACCGGUAGCUCCCCUCCCUCUUUCGUCUUCCACUUCCUCUUCUAUCUUUCGUCUUCCUCUUCCUCUUUCUCUUCAUUCUUCCUCUUCCUCUCCCCCCUUCCAUGGUCUCCCAAGGCAGAUCGAAUGGUGGUUCUACUUCUAAUCGUCCUCCACCGAUAGGUAAUAGUAACCCAUUGCCGCAAAGGAAUAAUAUGCAGCGAUUUCGGUCACCGAAUCUACAAAAAAAAAAAAAAAAUCCUCUUCCAAGUUCUUAAAAGCAUCGACAAACUUCAGAUUCUAAAAACGAAUUUCAAAAUGUUCAGAAUCUUGCAUCGAAGCCUUCAACGUUUGGUUUUUGUCAAAAUCUUCCACCAAACACCUUAGAUCUAAGACAUUUGACUUUUAAUCAACUUUCACUCGAGGACACGGAAGCAAAAGAAGCUUUUAUUGAGUAAAUUAAGAGUGCUCGGAUAUGAAGAUUAUUAAUCCUUGUAGCAUGUUCAUUCAUUGUUGGUGUCUCCUGCAAUUUCAAUAUAAGUGAGAUAAAAUAUUCAGUUUGUGCUUUCCAAAAUAUCUUCUGUGUAUCAAGUUUCAUUAUCUUCCAAUGACCCAGAUUGUUCUUCCAUAGAUUCCACUCCUCAGUUUCCUUUUACCAAAGAACAGUGUCAACAAAUUCUUUCUUUCUUUCCUACAAUCCUCUUCACAAACACCUCAACCUAUAACCACGAAUGCUAUGAACAACUCAUCUUAUGUUUCAAACUCUUUAAGUUUAUCAGGAUUUACACUCAUGGAAGACGAUUGGAGUGGCUAAGCAAGUAGUUGGACUAUAUCUGUUGAAAGCAUCUGUUAUGAAUUCUAGUGUAUUUUCUGCUGUAAAUCUCACUUCUGCUGUAAAUCUUCCUUCUUUUGAUCCUUGGCAUUUUAGGCUAGGCCAUUGUUCUCUCAAUAAGAUUCAAACACUAUAGAAGUUGUUGCCUGAUAUACAUACUCUUUCAAAUUUCAAUUGUAAUAUCUGUCCAUUGGCAAAACAUAAAAGGUUGCCAUUCAAUACUAGUCAUUCCAUUAGAAAUAAAAUUUUUGAUUUGAUACACUGUGA